GACAGAGGUGCCAAGCGUUAGGCGGAAUCACUGGGCUUAAAGCGUGUGUAGGCGGAAUGGUAAGUACCUUGUGAAAUCCCACGGCUCAACCGUGGAACUGCUUGGUAUACUGCUUUUCUUGAGCCACUUAGGGGCAACCGGAACAAACGGUGGAGCGGUGAAAUGCGUAGAUAUCAGGAAGAACACCAAUGGCGAAGGCAGCUCUCUGGGACGGUACUGACGCUGAGACGCGAAAGCGUGGGGAGCGAACAGG
RNAcentral lists this ribosomal RNA (253 nucleotides) under uncultured bacterium. RNAcentral's name for it is "partial 16S ribosomal RNA". It matches the Rfam family "Bacterial small subunit ribosomal RNA", at positions 524 to 776 of the family's 1533-position model. The record is from RNAcentral.